This is a non-coding RNA of Pelobates cultripes (western spadefoot toad), 218 nucleotides long. The record is from the annotation of a GenBank genome assembly. Lineage: Eukaryota; Metazoa; Chordata; Amphibia; Anura; Pelobatidae.
CCGGCACUGCUCCCACUGACAGCCCCAGCACUGCCAUCACUGCCAGCCCCCAUGACACGGAUCCCGGGUGGGGAAGCUCCUGUGCCGUUUCCAGGUGAGCGGGCUGUGCCCGGUGUCCCCAGUCUGGGCUGCCGGCCCUGGUGGGGAAUGGUGGACAGGGAGGACAUCCGGAUGGUACCUGUCAAAGGGAAUCCCACGGGGGAGGGAAACAAUUGAAC